This 498-nucleotide ribosomal RNA is filed under the name uncultured bacterium. RNAcentral's name for it is "partial 16S ribosomal RNA". It matches the Rfam family "Bacterial small subunit ribosomal RNA", at positions 29 to 523 of the family's 1533-position model. The record is from RNAcentral.
AUUGAACGCUGGCGGCAUGCUUUACACAUGCAAGUCGAACGGUAACAGGCCGCACGGUGCUGACGAGUGGCGAACGGGUGAGUAAUGCAUCGGAACGUGCCCAGUCGUGGGGGAUAACGCAGCGAAAGCUGCGCUAAUACCGCAUACGAUCUCUGGAUGAAAGCGGGGGACCGAAAGGCCUCGCGCGAUUGGCGCGGCCGAUGUCAGAUUAGGUAGUUGGUGGGGUACAGGCCCACCAAGCCAACGAACUGUAGCUGGUCUGAGAGGACGCCCAGCCACACUGGGACUGAGACACGGAGCAGACUCCUACGGGAGGCAGGAGUGGGGAAUUUUAGACAAUGGGCGCAAGCCUGAUCCAGCAAUGCCGCGUGCAGGAAGAAGGCCUUCGGGUUGUAAACUGCUUUUGUACGGAACGAAACGGUCCGGGCUAAUACCCUGGGCUAAUGACGGUACCGUAAGAAUAAGCACCGGCUAACUACGUGCCAGCCGCCGCAGUAA